CCCCCCGUAGGCUGAACCAGCCAAGUAGCGUGAGGGAAGACUGCCCUAUGGGUUGUAAACCUCUUUUAUGCGGGGAUAAAGGUGUCCACGUGUGGAUGUUUGCAGGUACCGCAUGAAUAAGGACCGGCUAAUUCCGUGCCAGCAGCCGCGGUAAUACGGAAGGUCCGGGCGUUAUCCGGAUUUAUUGGGUUUAAAGGGAGCGUAGGCCGGUCUUUAAGCGUGCCGUGAAAUUUUGUGGCGCAACCAUGAGAGUGCGGCGCGAACUGGAGACCUUGAGUGCGCGGAAGGCAGGCGGAAUUCGUGGUGUAGCGGUGAAAUGCUUAGAGAUCACGAAGAACCACGAUUGCGAAGGCAGCCUGCCGCAGCGUUACUGACGCUGAAGCUCGAAAGCGCGGGUAUCGAACAGGAUUAGAUACCCUUGUAGUC
RNAcentral lists this ribosomal RNA (426 nucleotides) under uncultured bacterium. RNAcentral describes it as "partial 16S ribosomal RNA". It matches the Rfam family "Bacterial small subunit ribosomal RNA", at positions 372 to 795 of the family's 1533-position model. The record is from RNAcentral.